AUUGAACGCUGGCGGCAUGCCUUACACAUGCAAGUCGAACGACAGCACGGGUGCUUGCACCUGGUGGCGAGUGGCGAACGGGUGAGUAAUAUAUCGGAACGUACCUUAUUGUGGGGGAUAACGCAGCGAAAGCUGUGCUAAUACCGCAUAAUCCCUUAGGGGGAAAGCGGGGGACCGUAAGGCCUCGCGCAAUUAGAGCGGCCGAUACCUGAUUAGCUAGUUGGUGAGGUAAAGGCUCACCAAGGCGACGAUCAGUAGCUGGUCUGAGAGGACGAUCAGCCACACUGGGACUGAGACACGGCCCAGACUCCUACGGGAGGCAGCAGUGGGGAAUUUUGGACAAUGGGGGCAACCCUGAUCCAGCAAUGCCGCGUGAGUGAAGAAGGCCUUCGGGUUGUAAAGCUCUUUUGUCAGGGAAGAAACAGCAGCUCUAACACAGUAUGCGAAUGACGGUACCUGAAGAAUAAGCACCGGCUAACUACGUGCCAGCCGCCGCGGUAA
Molecule: ribosomal RNA, 501 nt
Filed under: uncultured bacterium
Lineage: Bacteria
Description: partial 16S ribosomal RNA
Rfam family: Bacterial small subunit ribosomal RNA
Source: RNAcentral